Molecule: ribosomal RNA, 468 nt
Filed under: uncultured bacterium
Lineage: Bacteria
Description: partial 16S ribosomal RNA
Rfam family: Bacterial small subunit ribosomal RNA
Source: RNAcentral
GACGAACGCUGGCGGCGUGCUUAACACAUGCAAGUCGAACGGAAAGGCCCUGCUUUUGUGGGGUGCUCGAGUGGCGAACGGGUGAGUAACACGUGAGUAACCUGCCCUUGACUUUGGGAUAACUUCAGGAAACUGGGGCUAAUACCGGAUAGGAGCUCCUGCUGCAUGGUGGGGGUUGGAACGUUUCGGCGGUUGGGGAUGGACUCGCGGCUUAUCAGCUUGUUGGUGGGGUAGUGGCUUACCAAGGCUUUGACGGGUAGCCGGCCUGAGAGGGUGACCGGCCACAUUGGGACUGAGAGACGGCCCAGACUGCUACGGGAGGCAGCAGGGGAGAAUAUUACAAAAUGGGCGGAAGCCUGAGGCAGCGACGCCGCGUGCGGGAUGAAGGCCUUCGGGUUGUAAACCGCUUUCGGCUGUGACGAAGCGUGAGUGACGGUAAUGGGUAAAGAAGCACCGGCUAACUACGUG